RNAcentral lists this ribosomal RNA (500 nucleotides) under uncultured bacterium. Its description in RNAcentral is "partial 16S ribosomal RNA". It matches the Rfam family "Bacterial small subunit ribosomal RNA", at positions 28 to 507 of the family's 1533-position model. The record is from RNAcentral.
GACGAACGCUGGCGGCGUGCCUAAUACAUGCAAGUCGAGCGGACUGAUUAAGAGCUUGCUCUUAUGACGUUAGCGGCGGACGGGUGAGUAACACGUGGGCAACCUGCCCUGUAGAUCGGGAUAACACCGAGAAAUCGGUGCUAAUACCGGAUAAUAUCUGUGAUCACAUGAUCUUAGGUUAAAAGAUGGCUCCGGCUAUCACUACAGGAUGGGCCCGCGGCGCAUUAGCUAGUUGGUAAGGUAAUGGCUUACCAAGGCGACGAUGCGUAGCCGCCCUGAGAGGGUGAUCGGCCAAACUGGGACUGAGACACGGCCCAGACUCCAACGGGAGGCAGCAGUAGGGAAUCUUCCGCAAAGGACGAAAGUCUGACGGAGCAACGCCGCGGGAGUGAUGAAGGGUUUCGGCUCGUAAAGCUCUUUUGUUAGGGAAGAAACAGUACCGAACGAACUAGGUCGGUACCUUGACGGUACCUAACCAGAAAGCCACGGCUAACUACGUG